This 566-nucleotide long non-coding RNA is filed under the name Brassica napus (rape). RNAcentral's name for it is "long non-coding RNA (BNAP_LNC025030)". Lineage: Eukaryota; Viridiplantae; Streptophyta; Magnoliopsida; Brassicales; Brassicaceae. The record is from RNAcentral.
GUUUUGUGAUGUUAUGUUUCGCCGGUGUCAUCCACGGGCUCCUUAAUUGUAACGUUUUUGAUCUUUUAUUCAUUUGACUCUCUCUUUUCUGGUGGUAGUUUCCAAAUUUCAUCAGUGAACUUUUUCAACCAGCUUCAACGUUCUAGAGAGAUUAUGGAUUACCGUCCUUUGGUCCUUGGAGGCGGCACUUGGCUAUAAGGGUAGUGAUAUCACGUGGUAUGUGAUUCCUUGCAUUCACCGGUAACUCCAAUCGGACUUCGGUUCAUCCUAGUACUGUGAAUUUUCGCUUGAAGAUUCAUGAUAGUGUCAUUGUCUAAUUAUUUUAUGCAGGUUUUUGGGCCGCUUUGGUUCUAGUACAACGGCCUUCUCAGGCCCGUUUUUUGCAGGUCGUUGUUGGCUAAGGUCGUUCUCCUAUCAUUUAUGUCCUUGCAGCUAACGACGUCGGAGGAGAGGAUGUAUACUCGGCUUAUUGGUACUUUCCUAUGUUUAGUGUUCCUUGACCCCUCUCUUCAAGAUCAUCUCGUGCUUCAUCUUUGGGUGAUGAUUAUAAGUUUAGAUAAACUUGU